AACGAACGCUGGCGGCAUGCCUAACACAUGCAAGUCGAACGAGACCUUCGGGUCUAGUGGCGCACGGGUGCGUAACGCGUGGGAACCUGCCCUUAGGUUCGGAAUAACUCCCCGAAAGGGGUGCUAAUACCGGAUAAUGUCUUCGGCCCAAAGAUUUAUCGCCUUUGGAUGGGCCCGCGUUGGAUUAGCUAGUUGGUAGGGUAAAAGCAUACCCAGGCGACGAUCCAUAGCUGGUCUGAGAGGAUGAUCAGCCACACUGGGACUGAGACACGGCCCAGACUCCUACGGGAGGCAGCAGUGGGGAAUAUUGGACAAUGGGCGAAAGCCUGAUCCAGCAAGGCCGCGUGAGUGAUGAAGGCCUUAGGGUUGUAAAGCUCUUUUACCCGGGAUGAUAAUGACAGUACCGGGAGAAUAAGCUCCGGCUAACUCCGUG
Molecule: ribosomal RNA, 433 nt
Filed under: uncultured bacterium
Lineage: Bacteria
Description: partial 16S ribosomal RNA
Rfam family: Bacterial small subunit ribosomal RNA
Source: RNAcentral